This 442-nucleotide ribosomal RNA is filed under the name Amazonian soil bacterium P12c. RNAcentral's name for it is "partial 16S ribosomal RNA". The record is from RNAcentral.
GCUCCCAAUCAUCUACCCCACUUCGACGGCUGGCUCCUUGCGGUUACCCCACCGGCUUCGGGUGUUGUAAACUCUCGUGGUGUGACNGGCGGUGUGUNCAANACCCGGGAACGUAUUCACCGCGGCAUGCUGAUCCGCGAUUACUAGCAAUUCCGACUUCAUGCAGGCGANUUGCAGCCUGCAAUCCGAACUGAGACCGACUUUGAUAGGAUUGGCUCCGCCUCGCGGNUUCGCUUCCCGUUGUAUCGGCCAUUGUANUACGUGUGUANCCCANGUCAUAAGGGGCAUGAUGAUUUGACGUCAUCCCCACCUUCCUCCGGUUUGUCCCNGCAGUCAUCCUAAAAUUUCCCCCCNUAAAUUUCUGGCANCUAAAAUCAAGGGUUNCCCNCCUUGCGGGGAAUUAACCCACCUUCUCCNACCAAGCUAACAAAAACCUUGCCCC